CUAUGGUUUAUUGGAUCGUACCCGUUAAAUGGAUAACUGUAAUAACUCUAGAGCUAAUACAUGCCUCGAUGCUCUGACCCUGUUGGCUUGCUACUGGUGCUGCUGCCGUCGCUGCUUCGCUGCGGCGGCGGCAUGUGGUGGGUAGGUGGCAGGAGGAGGCAGGGGAUGGGUGCACUUAUUAGAUCAGAAGCCAACCAAUUGCUUGUGCGUGUGCGGCCGGUGGAAAGACCGUUGCAUGCGCGCGUGCAAGCGUUGAGAGGAGACUUCUGGUGACUCUGGAUAAUUGUUACAGAUCGCAGUCGGCCUUGAGUCGGCGACGGGUCCUUCAAGUGUCUGCCCUAUCAACUGUCGAUGGUAGGUGACCUGCCUACCAUGGUGAUAACGGGUAACGGGGAAUCAGGGUUCGAUUCCGGAGAGGGAGCCUGAGAAACGGCUACCACUUCCAAGGGAGGCAGCAGGCGCGCAAAUUACCCACUCCCGGCACGGGGAGGUGGUGACGAAAAAUACCGAUGCGGGACUCCUUCAAGAGGCUCCGUAAUCGGAAUGAGUGGACUCUAAAUCCUUUCACGAGGAUCAAUUGGAGGGCAAGUCUGGUGCCAGCAGCCGCGGUAACUCCAGCUCCAAUAGCGUAUAUUAAAGUUGCUGCAGUUAAAAAGCUCGUAGUUGGAUCUCGGUAGCAUUGUUGCCUGUUGGUAAUUGAGCGGCCGGUGUGUGGUCAAUGAUGCACGAUCUCGCCACAUUGUCUGCAUGUGUGCGUGCGGGGGGGGCGCGGGUCGGUUUGGUUGGUAGCCGGCAGGCGGGUGGGUAAGUUGGAUGGUCGCUCUAGUUGGUCGAUUGACCGCGGUGGGGGAGCAAGCUUGCGUGCGUGCGUGCGUGCUUGCUUGCUCGCCUGCUGACUGUGCGUCUGUCAACUGGCCCACCGGCUGCCUGCUGGCUGGCUGGCUGGCUGGCCGGCUGGUGCGUUGACUCGCUGCUACGGCUCGCUUGCAGUGUGUGUUCGUGUGGGUUGUGUUGUCGUGGCCAUGAAGAAGCACUGCCGUGUCAAGCCGGCAAGGCGACGGUGUCACCUUUAAGCCAUGUCUGUGGUGUAACAGCCGCAGGUGUGGACGGGUGUUGGGCGGUGCUCUGCACGCGUUGUGGGGCCUGUCGGCUCGUCUGCAUGCCUUUGGAUGCCCUUGAAAAGGUGUCCGCGGGCGGAUGGCACGUUUACUUUGAACAAAUUUGAGUGCUCAAGGCAGGCCGAUGUUGCCUGAAAAGUUUUGCAUGGAAUAAUGGAAUAGGACUUCGGUUCUAUUUCGUUGGUUUUCGGAUCCGAAGUAAUGAUCAAAAGAGACAGGCGGGGACGUUUGUACGGCUGCGCUAGAGGUGAAAUUCAUGGACCGUAGCCAGACAAACUAAAGCGAAAGCAUUCGUCAAGCAUGUUUUCAUUGGCCAUGAGCGAAAGUCAGAGGCUCGAAGACGAUCAGAUACCGUCCUAGUUCUGACCAUAAACGAUGCCAACUGACGAUCCGUGGUGGUAGUAAUGUUACCUUCCCCACGGGCAGUCCCCGGGAAACCUUUAAGUGUUUGGGUUCCGGGGGAAGUAUGGUUGCAAAGCUGAAACUUAAAGGAAUUGACGGAAGGGCACCACCAGGAGUGGAGCCUGCGGCUUAAUUUGACUCAACACGGGAAAACUCACCCGGGCCGGACACUAUGAGGAUUGACAGAUUGAGAGCUCUUUCUUGAUUUGGUGGUUGGUGGUGCAUGGCCGUUCUUAGUUGGUGGAGCGAUUUGUCUGGUUAAUUCCGAUAACGAACGAGACUCCAGCCUGCUAAUUAGUGCAUUUGUCCACUGCACCUGGGUAGGUGAUGCUGGAUGCCACCAUUCGCCAUAGGCGGCUCAGUCCUGCUUUACCCCUUCCUGCUGCCUCUGCUGCUGCCUCUGCUGCUGCCUCUGCCUCCCCCUGCUCCUGCUCCUGCUCCUGCUCCUGGUUGGUUGGGAGGGGGGGGGUUGUUGGUCGGGGGUGAGGAAAUGCGGGGUUGGUAGCAGCCGCAGCCGCAGCAUCGGCAGCCGGGAGGGGAGUAUGGAGUGGGGCUUGACGCUUGUGGUUGGUUAGUCUAGUUUUGGCCUCCGGGUGUGGCGCGAAUGCUUACUUCUUAGAGGGACAAGCGGGAGAAGCCGCACGAAAUAGAGCAAUAACAGGUCUGUGAUGCCCUUAGAUGUCCGGGGCCGCACGCGCGCUACAAUGACGGUGUCAGCGAGUCAGACCUUCUGGCCCGAAAGGGUUGGGCAAACUGGUCAAUCACCGUCGUGACAGGGAUCGGGGCUUGGAAUUGUUCUCCGUGAACGAGGAAUUCCUAGUAAGUGCAAGUCAUAAGCUUGCGCUGAUUACGUCCCUGCCCUUUGUACACACCGCCCGUCGCUACUACCGAUUGAAUGGUUUAGUAAGGUCCUUGGAUUGGCGUCAUUGCGGCGGUGGCUGGAAGGUCGCAGCCCGACAGGCGCUGAGAAGACGACCGAACUUGAUCAUUUAGA
Molecule: ribosomal RNA, 2514 nt
Filed under: Taenia twitchelli
Lineage: Eukaryota; Metazoa; Platyhelminthes; Cestoda; Cyclophyllidea; Taeniidae
Description: SSU rRNA
Rfam family: Eukaryotic small subunit ribosomal RNA
Source: RNAcentral